Molecule: long non-coding RNA, 2369 nt
Filed under: Pan troglodytes (chimpanzee)
Lineage: Eukaryota; Metazoa; Chordata; Mammalia; Primates; Hominidae
Description: long non-coding RNA NONPTRT005209
Source: RNAcentral
GCAGCGCCCCCCGCUUCGCCUCCCGGUCCGGCCCCAGCUCGACGGGCGGAACCGGGUGCGCACAGCAGCCCCGCGCCCUGGCCCAGGGCCAGCGGGUUAACGCUUAACUACGCUCCAGGAGCUGUAGGCUCCAGCCGCGCCUCGAGUCCCCAACCUUUGGCCCCGGAAGCCAAAAAGAGGAGCGGACGGUGAAGGAGUCAGGGAUAAUGUGAGUUGAUGCUGGCUGAGAUCUGCUCCGAUGAGGGUUUGAAAGAGAGAGCUCCGGGUGUCAAAGUCAGUGGAUGGCAAAACAUGCCUGGAGGGAGCAACCAGGCAUCCGACCACAGGCCCUGGGCUGGGGGGUGGUGGAAGCAGAGGAAGGAGAGAGAAGGAAAUUUGGGAGGAAGAGUGGGCACGAACUGGCUGCCCAAUUGUGUGGGUGGGUAGGUGGCAGGGAGGGACUGGAUGUUCUGGGUCUGCCCCUCCGGCCGCACCACACCUGCUUCCAGGUGAGCUUAGGAAUUUCCCAGGCUUCCUCCCAGCUGGAGCCAGACGUGUCCCUCAGAGGCCCCAGCCCUGCCCAUCCUUUCCUGCCCUACCCAGGGCUUCUCUACCUUCUUGGCUUGGCCUGCUCCUUGUUCACACCUUGGUAAAUGACCCUUCACAAAAGUCAUUUUCUCUAUUUGUGCUUUUCUUUCUUUUGCCAGGACCCUUGACUUUCUCGACAGGGAGGGGGAGGCAAGGCUGGUGCCCAGUGCUCUGCCUGCACUGGUCAGUGCGCGUGGCUGUCACUUGGCUGGGAAGCUAGGCCAGGAGAGCAGCUGCAGCUGUGGAGGUCAGCAGUUGAGAGGUGGAGAGACCUGAGCACACUUGGGCCAGCUGUCCCAUGGCAUUUGGGAGCCCAGGACCGAGCCGGGGGGCAAGUGUGGGCAAUGCUUGGAGCCACAGAGUGGGGGUAGGGAAUUGGAGGGGUAGAGAGGACAACUCAAACUAAGCCAGGAACCCACAGAGGAGACCAGGAAAGGAAAACCAAGAAGGAGUGAGUCCCCAAUGCCCCCAAAUGGAUCCAUAUAUCGAAUGAUCCCCAGUAAAAGUAGCUCCAUGAUGAUUCCAAAGCCCUUAGGAAACUAAAGGUGCCAGGAGAAUGAAUAGACACGUCUCCAUAGAAGACACACACUGGCCAACAAGUACAUGGGAAAUGUCCAGCAUCCUCCAGGAAAUGCAAAGCAAAACCACAGUGAGAUCCCACCUCCCACCCGCUGGGACUGGGCAGAUGCAGUCCUGGCAAACCAGUCUUGGUGAGGAGGGGGGGUAUCAGAGCCCUGCUGCACUGAGAUACACACACACAAAAUGGAAUAGUAUUCAGUCUUAAAAAGGAAAGAAAUUCCAGUACUGGCUGCAACUUGGAUGGACCCUGAGGAUCCUAUGCUGAGUUAAAUAAGCCAGUCACAGAAGAACACGUACCAUACAAUCCCACUUAUGUGAGGUCCCUAGAGUAGUCACUUUCAUAGAGAUAGUAGCUGACAGGAGGAGCAUGGGGAGUGACUGUUUAAUGAACACAGACUUGAAAUUUGGGAAGAGGUAAAAGUUCUGGAGAUGGAUGGUGGUGAUGGGUGGUGAUGAUGGACAUUGGAGAUGGGCAAUGGACAUGGAUGGUGGUGAUGGAUGGUAUAAAUGGAUAUUGGAUGUGGACAGCGGACGUGGACAGUGGAGAUAGAGGGUGGUGAUGGCUGGUGGACAUGGACAGUGAAGAUAGAGAGUAGUGAUGGAUGGUGGAGAUAGAGGGCGGUGAUGGACAGUGGAGAUAGAGGGUGGUGAUGGACAGUGGACAUGGACAGUGGAGAUAGAGGGUGGUGAUGGACAGUGGACAUGGACAGUGGAGAUAGAGGGUGGUGAUGGACAGUGGAGAUAGAGGGUGGUGAUGGACAGUGGACAUGGAUAGUGGAGACAGAGGGUAGUGAUGGACAGUGGAGAUAGGGGGUGGUGAUGGACAGUGGACAUGGACAGUGGAGAUAGAGGGUAGUGAUGGACAGUGGAGAUAGAGGGUGGUGAUGGACAGUGGACAUGGACGCUGGAGAUAGAGGGUGGUGAUGGACAGUGGAGAUAGAGAGUGGUGAUGGAUGGUGGACAUGGAUAGUGGAGAUAGAGGGUGGUGAUGGACAGUGGACAUGGACAGUGGAGAUAGAGGGUGGUGAUGGACAGUGGAGAUAGAGGGUGGUGAUGGAUGGUGGACAUGGAUAGUGGAGAUAGAGGGUGGUGAUGGAUGGUGGACAUCGAUAGUGGAGUUGAAGGGUGGAGAUGGAGGGUGGUGAUGGAUGGCAGUGAUGGAGGGUGGAGAUGGAGGGUGGUGAUGGAGGGUGGAGGGUAGUGAUGGACAGUGGAGAUGGAGG